This 538-nucleotide ribosomal RNA is filed under the name uncultured Methanosphaerula sp. Its description in RNAcentral is "bacterial SSU rRNA". It matches the Rfam family "Archaeal small subunit ribosomal RNA", at positions 52 to 594 of the family's 1478-position model. Lineage: Archaea; Methanobacteriati; Methanobacteriota; Methanomicrobia; Methanomicrobiales; Methanoregulaceae. The record is from RNAcentral.
UGCGAGUCGAGAGUCAUAAUGGACUCGGCAUACUGCUCAGUAACACGUGGAUAACCUGCCCUGAGCUGGGGAAUAACCUCGGGAAACUGAGAAUAAUGCCCCAUAGGCCACAAUGCCUGGAACGGUUUGUGGCUCAAAGCCCCGGCGGCUCAGGAUGGGUCUGCGGCAUAUCAGGCAGUAGUGGGUGUAACGGACCCACUAGCCUUCGACGUGUACGGGUUGUGGGAGCAAUCGCCCGGAGAUGGAUUCUGAGACACGAAUCCAGACCCUACGGGGUGCAGCAGGCGCGAAAACUUCACACUGCGGGAAACCGCGAUGAGGGGAUUCCAAGUGUCUGGGGUAAGACCCAGUCUUUUCUCGACUAUUAACAGGUCUUGGAAUAAGGGGCGGGUAAGACCGGUGCCAGCCGCCGCGGUAAUACCGGCGCCCCGAGUGGUCGUCGCUUUUAUUGGGCCUAAAACGUCCGUAGCCGGUCCGGUAAACCCGUGGGUAAAUCAACCAGCUCAACUGGUUGAAUUCUGCGGAGACUGCCGGACUA